AGAAUGGAACACCCAACCACGGAGCCACGCCAAAUGAGGCUCCGAGCACUCUGAGGGAGGGGUUGCACCUAUCUUUUACACUGUCGACUCCACGUGCCCUGGACAACAUCUGGAACUUAGUAGGUGUGCAGCUGAAUGAGAUGUGUCCCCACCAUCUGACUCCAUCUUCAUCCUUUCCACUGUAGGAAAGACAGCUCAGAGCAGAUCCCUGAUUGAGGGCAGGUGUGGGAAGUGCUUCAUAGCCACUGGGGACCCAAGCCCUGUUUAUCUUGUUGCCCUGCCAUCCUCACCAUCUGGCUUCUACGUCAUGAUCCGCCAUCACUGCUGGAGCUCCAGCUAUGUUGACCGAA
Long non-coding RNA from Myotis brandtii (Brandt's bat), 350 nucleotides. RefSeq lists it as uncharacterized. NCBI's taxonomy places the organism in Eukaryota, Metazoa, Chordata, Mammalia, Chiroptera, Vespertilionidae. The transcript has 3 exons. The record is from RefSeq and is a predicted model, not a curated record.